CGGGGUGUAGCGCAGCCGGUAGCGCGCUUGGUUCGGGACCAAGAGGUCGUGGGUUCGAAUCCCGUCACUCCGA
Molecule: transfer RNA, 73 nt
Filed under: Eubacteriales bacterium
Lineage: Bacteria; Bacillati; Bacillota; Clostridia; Eubacteriales
Description: tRNA-Pro
Rfam family: tRNA
About the family: Transfer RNA (tRNA) molecules are approximately 80 nucleotides in length.
Source: RNAcentral